RNAcentral lists this ribosomal RNA (367 nucleotides) under uncultured organism. Its description in RNAcentral is "bacterial SSU rRNA". It matches the Rfam family "Bacterial small subunit ribosomal RNA", at positions 526 to 896 of the family's 1533-position model. The record is from RNAcentral.
CGGAGGGAGCUAGCGUUGUUCGGAAUUACUGGGCGUAAAGAGCGCGUAGGCGGCUAAUUAAGUUGGAAGUGAAAUCCCAGGGCUUAACCCUGGAAUUGCUUUCAAAACUGGUUAGCUAGAGGACGAUAGAGGAUGGUGGAAUUCCUAGUGUAGAGGUGAAAUUCUUAGAUAUUAGGAGGAACAUCGGAGGCGAAGGCGACCAUCUGGGUCGUAUCUGACGCUGAGGCGCGAAAGCGUGGGGAGCAAACAGGAUUAGAUACCCUGGUAGUCCACGCUGUAAACGAUGAGUGCUCGAUAUCGGAACUUGUUUUCGGUGUCGGAGCUAACGCGUUAAGCACUCCGCCUGGGGAGUAAGGUCGCAAGAUUA